This 1239-nucleotide long non-coding RNA is filed under the name Rhinopithecus bieti (black snub-nosed monkey). RNAcentral describes it as "lncRNA (ENSRBIG00000045543.1)". The record is from RNAcentral. Lineage: Eukaryota; Metazoa; Chordata; Mammalia; Primates; Cercopithecidae.
UUCUUUCUUUUUUUUUUUUCUGAGACGGAGUUUUGCUCUUGUUGCCCAGGCUGGAGUGCAAUGGCACAAUCUCGGCUUACUGCAACCUCUGCCUACCGGGUUCAAGUGAUUCUCCUGCCUCAGGCUCCCAAGUAGCUGGGAUUACAGGUAUGCACCACCAUGCCCAGCUAAUUUUUUGUAUUUUUAGUAGAGACAGGGUUUCACCAUGUUGGCCACAUUGGUCUCGAACUCCUGACCUCGGGUGAUCCAUCCACCUUGGCCUUCCAAAGUGCUGGGAUUCUGUAAUGUGAGCCACCAUGCCCAACUACAUUUUCUUAAAAGUGUCUUUUGUGCAGCAGAUUUUAAUUUUCAUGAAUUCUAAUUUAUUACUAUUACUUUUCAUUUAUUUUAGAGGAGAGUGUGGCUGGCUCUGAUGUUUAAUGAUAUGGGAACAGAGAGAGGUAGGAAGGCCUGAACCAGCCAAGAGACUUUACCAGAGAUCUUGUAAUCCUGUCCUCUGUCAUAUAAAGAGCAUGUCACAGUCACGGCUGGUCCCAGAAUGAAGAGACUUGUGGAGUGGACUUGAAUCCCGCGCACAGCCUUGAUCCAAGCCUAGCUGAUUCUAGUUGAAGCCAGAGAGCCGCAGCUGAACCUGUAACCUAUGAGUAGAAAAUCAAAGCUUAUUGGAACAAAAGGAGCUGGGCCCAGGGAGGAGGAGCAUGUUGCCCGAGCUUCAACUUUGAAGGAGGGGCCUCCACUUCAAAGAGGAAGAAGGCAAGAGAGAAGAAAGAGGAAAAAGAAGAAAGACUUCUUUCUGCUGCCUUCUGAUCUCCUGCCAGUGUAUCUCUUCCUGGAGAGCCUAAUGGGAAACAAUCAAUAAGGAAGCCUGAGAAACAUAGUUCACAGGCCCCUGGUCCCAGCGUUCACAAGCAGAAAAUGGAAAGUAAAUUAUUGGCACAGUACCCAUAUGGAGAAAUGAAAAUUGACUUCUUUCUCAUACCAUACACACUGUAACAUUUAAAUAUUAAGGGCAAACAAUGAAAUGUUCAGAGAAAAAAAUGGAGGAAAAAUGUUUCACUAUCAAAGAGUAGACACUUUUUUUUUUUUUUUUUUUUUUAGAUGGGGUCUUUUUUUGUCACCUAGGCUAGAGUGCAGUGGCACAAUCUCGGCUAACUGCAACCUCUGCCUCCUGGGUUCAAGGGAUUCUCCUGCCUCAGUCUCCCGAGUAGCAGGGAUUACAGAGGUGCACCACGAUGCCUG